Molecule: unclassified non-coding RNA, 240 nt
Filed under: soil metagenome
Description: partial contains 5.8S ribosomal RNA, internal transcribed spacer 2, and large subunit ribosomal RNA
Source: RNAcentral
AACUGAUACUACCUGCGGGAACCUGCGGAGGGAUCAUUAUUGAAAAGCUUUGGAGAUACUGCUGCUGGUCUUUUAACAAGGCAUGUGCACGUAUCUCUAAUCCUAUUCAUCCACCUGUGCACUUUUUGUAGAAGUUCUUAGUAGGAUUGGCUUAUAGGUUUCUGACCUUGUAGUUGAUUUGAAAGGCUUCUAUGUUUUUACAAACCAUAUAAGCAUGUCUAGAAUGUUCUUUUUAUUGGG